UACGGGGGGUGCAAGCGUUGUCCGGAUUUAUUGGGUUUAAAGGGUGCGCAGGCGGUCUGUUAAGUCAGUGUUUAAAUCGUGCAGCUUAACUGUACUAUGGCACUGAUACUGACGGGCUUGAGUGUAGUCGAGGUUGGCGGAAUUUAUGGUGUAGCGGUGAAAUGCUUAGAUACCAUAAAGAACACCGAUAGCGAAGGCAGCUAGCCAGGCUACUACUGACGCUCAUGCACGAAAGCGUGGGGAUCAAACAGGAUUAGAUACCCUGGUAGUCCACGCUGUAAACGAUGAUUACUCGAUGUUGGCGAUACACAGUCAGCGUCUUAGCGAAAGCGAUAAGUAAUCCACCUGGGGAGUACGCUCGCAAGAGUGAA
RNAcentral lists this ribosomal RNA (371 nucleotides) under uncultured bacterium. RNAcentral's name for it is "bacterial SSU rRNA". It matches the Rfam family "Bacterial small subunit ribosomal RNA", at positions 524 to 898 of the family's 1533-position model. The record is from RNAcentral.